UUGUGAAGUUGAACAUUUUCUCACAAUGAAUCCGUUUGUAGACAUGCACACUCAUUUAAUCUGGAGCUACGAAGUACUUUGUCACUUCUCUGGAACAUUAUUCUAAGCAGAAUUAUCCCGAUUCAUAUAUUCUAAGAAUCUUGUGUGAAUUGUUUACGAGGAAAUUCUGACUGUCACAUUAACAAGGAUGAACACUCUUGACUCUGCUUCGGAUUCCCCAGUGAUAAUUUUAUCGAGUGAUGAAAGAGCUGACGGCGACAUUUUAAUGUAUGAUUGGCUUGGACCAUUGGAAUAAAGUCAUUUCAUGGUGCCACCACUUGGGAUGGUAUUAGCUGCAAAUAUAGACUUGUACUCAGCACUUAUUGCCUUUAAGAAGUAUGAGAUCCAUUUUGUGCUAACACCUACCGUGACACAGAAUCUUGGUUUAUGCAGUCUCAUAGGAGUAACCUGUCUAAAGCAUUUAGCAAUGGGAUUGGAACCUGCAACGUGUGACUCAUCUGAAGACUGAAUUUUGAUACCAAGCAUGACCAUGAUUUGCCAGAAGAUCAUCUGUUUGGAUGUGACAUGGAAUAAACAGCAUAGUGAAAAUAAGUCAAGUUUUGGUUUGUGAAGACAAUUUUUAAACACACCGUGUAUCAUUUUUUAAUUUUGAUUUGACAACAUAAAUCCACAAAUAUGAACAUAUCAAUUGCUCUCAGUUUUUCAAGUGAAAUAGUUUUUGUAACAGAAAUACAUGUACCAGUAAUUACAUUGGAAUAAAUGUUAUUUUUAAAUAUAAUAAUAUUUUGUUUGUGUAGCAUGUUGACCUCUUUAUUAAGGUCUUCCCUUUCAAAGUUUAGACUUGCUUAUUCUAAUGAUUAAGAUAGAUCCUCUGUCUUCAGCAGGAAUAGAAGAUCUUGUAAUACAUGUAUGUGUAUUUUUUACAGUAUAAUGUAAAAAAAAUUGUUAUUUUGGCACAUACAACUAAUUAAAGGCAUAAACAUGUGUAUGAUUCCAAGGAAUUCAGUACAUAGGGCAUGUACAUGUAGUUUUCUAAAACAAGAUUGAAGAGAUGUCCAGUCGCAUUUCAAUGUCAACUGCAAAACUGUGCCUGUUGCAUAUUUAUUAGCCCAUCUGAGCUAAAGGAACCAGGAAAUUUUUUAAAAACAUAAUUUUAUCCAUUAUCAUCAUUGUCUAAAAUUUCACAAUAUCAUUUUCCAGAACCAAAGUGAAACUUGGCACAGAGCAUCCUUAGUGUAGGGGAUUCAAAUUGUUCUUAUGCAGGGCAAUACCUUCAAAGAGAUUUGUUUCUUUAAUGCUGUAAAUGUAUUAUAUUUAGCUUGUACAAUAUUUGGUGGAAAUUGACUUUUGAAUAAGUUAGCGUAGAUAUUCUUAUUUAUGUUUAUGUACAAGACUUUUAGCUUUGUACUUGAUUUAGUGAUUGCUGCAUUACGCCAAAGCCGCUAAAAAAGAAUACACAGCCAUAUGUAAUAUGUUUACAAUAUACCUUUCAGAGAAUUUUACACUCCUAUUGAGGUAUCACCAGUUGCUAGUGGAAAGCUGCAAAUUCGAAACAUACACAACACAUUUCUGUGCGUUUAUUAUAAAAGUAUUGUUCUACUUACUAAUUGCAACUAAUGAAGAUUGUUCAUCAUUAUUGUAAAUACAUUUGGAUUUUUUGAAUUAUUAUAUAAUUUGUUUAUUUUAUU
This is a long non-coding RNA of Saccostrea cuccullata (small rock oyster), 1688 nucleotides long. RefSeq lists it as uncharacterized. Lineage: Eukaryota; Metazoa; Mollusca; Bivalvia; Ostreida; Ostreidae. The transcript is spliced from 3 exons. The record is from RefSeq and is a predicted model, not a curated record.